CGGGGCGUGGCGCAGCCUGGCAGCGCGCCUGCUUUGGGAGCAGGAGGUCCCGGGUUCAAAUCCCGGCGCCCCGA
This 74-nucleotide transfer RNA is filed under the name Solirubrobacterales bacterium. RNAcentral describes it as "tRNA-Pro". It matches the Rfam family "tRNA". From Rfam's summary of the family: Transfer RNA (tRNA) molecules are approximately 80 nucleotides in length. The record is from RNAcentral. RNAcentral also lists the same sequence under 1 other name. Lineage: Bacteria; Bacillati; Actinomycetota; Thermoleophilia; Solirubrobacterales.